Molecule: ribosomal RNA, 696 nt
Filed under: uncultured bacterium
Lineage: Bacteria
Description: bacterial SSU rRNA
Rfam family: Bacterial small subunit ribosomal RNA
Source: RNAcentral
UAACGCGUGAGGAACCUGCCUCAAAGAGGGGGACAACAGUUGGAAACGACUGCUAAUACCGCAUAAGCCCACGGCUCGGCAUCGAGCAGGGGGAAAAGGAGCAAUCCGCUUUGAGAUGGCCUCGCGUCCGAUUAGCUAGUUGGUGAGGUAACGGCCCACCAAGGCGACGAUCGGUAGCCGGACUGAGAGGUUGAACGGCCACAUUGGGACUGAGACACGGCCCAGACUCCUACGGGAGGCAGCAGUGGGGAAUAUUGCACAAUGGGGGAAACCCUGAUGCAGCGACGCCGCGUGGAGGAAGAAGGUCUUCGGAUUGUAAACUCCUGUUGUUGAGGAAGAUAAUGACGGUACUCAACAAGGAAGUGACGGCUAACUACGUGCCAGCAGCCGCGGUAAAACGUAGGUCACAAGCGUUGUCCGGAAUUACUGGGUGUAAAGGGAGCGCAGGCGGGAGAACAAGUUGGAAGUGAAAUCCAUGGGCUCAACCCAUGAACUGCUUUCAAAACUGUUUUUCUUGAGUAGUGCAGAGGUAGGCGGAAUUCCCGGUGUAGCGGUGGAAUGCGUAGAUAUCGGGAGGAACACCAGUGGCGAAGGCGGCCUACUGGGCACCAACUGACGCUGAGGCUCGAAAGUGUGGGUAGCAAACAGGAUUAGAUACCCUGGUAGUCCACACCGUAAACGAUGAUUACUAGGUGU